GGCGAAGAGAAGGUGACAACAAUGAAGGUAUUUCGGCGGUCGGUAGCCGGACGGUGAGAGAGCCGAGAGUCGUCGUCCAAACCACCAGCGACAUCGACAUUCUCGACGAUGGUUACCGGUGGAGGAAGUAUGGUCAGAAAGUUGUAAAGGGAAACCCAAAUCCAAGGAGUUACUACAAAUGUACAAAUCCAGGAUGUCCAGUAAGAAAGCAUGUGGAGAGAGCUUCACAUGAUCUAAG
Molecule: unclassified non-coding RNA, 238 nt
Filed under: Hevea brasiliensis (rubber tree)
Lineage: Eukaryota; Viridiplantae; Streptophyta; Magnoliopsida; Malpighiales; Euphorbiaceae
Source: RNAcentral